RNAcentral lists this ribosomal RNA (253 nucleotides) under uncultured bacterium. RNAcentral describes it as "partial 16S ribosomal RNA". It matches the Rfam family "Bacterial small subunit ribosomal RNA", at positions 524 to 776 of the family's 1533-position model. The record is from RNAcentral.
UACGUAGGCAGCAAGCGUUGUUCGGAAUUACUGGGCGUAAAGAGUGUGUAGGCGGUGCUCUAAGUUCGGUGUGAAAUCUCCCGGCUCAACUGGGAGGGUGCGCCGAAAACUGGAGUGCUGGAGCGCGGGAGAGGAAAGCGGAAUUCCUGGUGUAGCGGUGAAAUGCGUAGAUAUCAGGAGGAGCACCGGCGGUGUAGACGGCUUUCUGGACCGUAGCUGACGCUGAGACACGAAAGCGUGGGUAGCAAACAGG